GGCUUCUCCUCCCCUUUCCUCUCUACUUGUCUCUCAGCAGGGUCCAUUUGGGGGCUUAGUCACUGGGGUAUGAAUCAGAGACUGCAUUUACACAGAACAGUGUGACUCAUCCUGCUGCCUUAAGCAUAGGAAUGCAUGCAAUGCAGGCCUGAAGAUGGCAGGGCUCUGGAACGGCUGCAUACUGACUCCAGCUAACCGACAGCCCUUUUCAUUUGUUGGUGAAAUAUAGCUGAGCGGUGUUAGUCACUGGCCCGGAUAGAGCAACUGGAGACGCAGGGAGACUUGGUGGAGAGGGCUCUGUCAAACAAACGCCAGAUGCUGGGAGAGGAGGCAAACACAGACCAUAUAGGCCUGGCUCUGCUGUAUGGUGAAGUGUUACUGGGCUUAGCCUUUUGCCUACUGGACUUGGAUGAGAGUGGGAAAUGUUUUGGCCUGGACAUAAGGUGCUGUGUGAUAGUAAGGGAGGGAAUGAUAUGCACAACUUUUAAACUUAUUUCAUUGGUCAAAAGGGGUACAGAACAUACAUUAUAUUAUUUACUUUGAGAUCCUUGGUAUGUCUGUCCAAAUAAUGACUAAUCAACUGUAGAAAUUGGGCGGUAGUCAACUUUGCAUGCUUGAUUCGACUGACAGGUAUGGUAAUUGGUUUCUGUUUUAUUUGUACAUUAAGCAUAUUGUCUGUUUGAAUGGUCUUGGUGAUGUGGUGAAAAGGGUGUAUACUUACUGUCACUGGAGACCAAGUCAUAACAUGCCGUCUUAUUAGUUCCUCAAUCAAAAGAUACACUUGUUGAGUUUCAACAUCUAAUCCUCAAUCAGCUCAAACAAUAAGCUGAAUAAGUACUGAUAGUACAUACUUACUUUCAAUAAUCAGCCCAUCUGUAAUAAUGUGUAUAAUCAUAUUUUGUUUUCUAGGAUUUUUUAAGAUGUGGUUUGAAUCAUUCAGAUUGUAACAGAAGGCUAAUUCGUUUUUCGAACAUUUUUUCUAGAUUUAUGUGCUUUUGGAACCCUGCCCUGAGACAUAUGCCAGUGUUUUUAUAUUAAAAUGUGAACAACUGUAUAAUUACACCACGCGGUCGAAUUACACACUCUGAUUUUGUACUCUGAUAUCCAUUCAUCUAUACAAGAGACCUGAAACUACAAAAAACCCUAAAGGCUGUCCGUCCCAAGACCAUAUCACUGUUCCUCCUGCUCAUAACUCUGACUGAAAACCCAUAAAGACUAACAUCUCCUGAGAGAUUUGAGGGGAGAGCUGCAUUCCUAACUUUUGGAAGUGAGGUCCAUUGGAGGACAGAUCUGCUGUUUGAUUGGAGAGUUGUCUUUUCAAUCAAGCUGCCAAGUGCAUAAGCCAGGGAGGAAGUCCAAGACAACAUCCACAUGAGGUUUUUCUGAAACAUACAAUUCCAAGGAGGAGGGAUUAGUGCUCUAACAGCACCCAUUAAUUGCCUUAACUAGAAAUAUUUUGUGAUUCUAAACCAACGGUUCUAACCAUAGAGUUCCUAUUAAAUUACUGUGUUUUAAUUCCUAAUUCUAUGGUUUCCAACAGCCUACAUAUUACUGGCAGCCAAAAAAAAUGAUGAAAUCAGGGGGUGGUUGAAUUCUUUUUUCCACUUUGUUUUCACUGGAUGUACAUUAGUAGCUACAUAGGCAAAAAAAUAUCCAUGAACAAACCUUAAUUUUGAUUUAGUCUACUA
Esox lucius (northern pike) is the source of this 1688-nucleotide long non-coding RNA. RefSeq lists it as uncharacterized. The record is from RefSeq and is a predicted model, not a curated record. NCBI's taxonomy places the organism in Eukaryota, Metazoa, Chordata, Actinopteri, Esociformes, Esocidae. The transcript is spliced from 3 exons.